Gavialis gangeticus (Gharial) is the source of this 940-nucleotide long non-coding RNA. RefSeq lists it as uncharacterized. The record is from RefSeq and is a predicted model, not a curated record. The transcript has 3 exons. NCBI's taxonomy places the organism in Eukaryota, Metazoa, Chordata, Crocodylia, Gavialidae.
CUUGUGCGUCCACUGUGUCAGCUGAAAUAAGGGCCUUCCUGCUCUUGGUGCUGUGCCAACUCGGUGCAAAACCUGCAAUCUAAGCUGGAAGAGAUCUAGCAGGUUUUCCAUUCAAGAACUGCAAGGGUUGGGGAGGCAACACCGCAUCUGAUUUUGAUCUCUCACUCCUUUCACACUGGUGUGAUUCCAGUGAUGUGGAUGAUUUGCAUCUGAUUUGUAAGCUGUAAACGCAACCAGAUUUUGAUUACAUUAAAUCGGAAAUGAGCAAGGUAACACCGGAAGGCCGUCUCUUGAACCGGUUUGCAAGCGAGGUACUCAGAUGCAGACAAGUACGGAAACUUCACCAAGUCUGUAGUUAAAAAAAAACAAACAAAUCAUUUGCUCUAUUUCAAAUGAGUAGCUGCUGUGUUAACAGAGCCUGAUCCAGGCUGAGCAUGAAAAGAAGGCACCGACUGUUCAUUUGGACGCAGGCCCUGGACUACAGCAUCGGCACUCGUAUUUGCAAUGUGAAGUGCAAAGGAGCUUAUAGAAUUGGUGUGGCUGAAUUUGUGAGUGUGUAUUCACAGGUAAGAAGGCAUUAUUACUGAAUUCCAGCUGCUGCAUGUGCACGAACAGGUAAUAAUAUCACUGGUUUUGCUUCUCCUGCUUUAUCCAAAGACCAACGCUACGCAAACUCUGCUGCGCUGGCGGGCCGAGUCGGUGCUCGAUUCAUCACUGUUUCCCGACACCUUCCAAACCCGUUCUCCGUGAACCUCAGGUAGACGUACCUCGUGGUAGCAUGGGUCCCAGAGCCCGGCUGGGCUGUCUUUUGAAGACGCGGCAGGUACCAAAGACGGGCACUGAUGAUGCUGAAAAUUCAGAGAGGGAUUAGAAGGAGUGAAGCUUUCUGGAUACUGGGAAGGGAGGGAGAUGCCGGGCUGUGCGGGCACGGGCCGAGGCG